Molecule: long non-coding RNA, 313 nt
Filed under: Homo sapiens (human)
Lineage: Eukaryota; Metazoa; Chordata; Mammalia; Primates; Hominidae
Description: non-protein coding lnc-MBNL2-1:1
Source: RNAcentral
CUGGGAUGCUCAGGAUGUGUUGUUCCCAGGUGACCAUGGCCAGUGACCCAACAAGAGCACUGAUGGAUGAGGAAUAUGGCAGAGGUCAACAGUAUCUGGAAGAGAGUGUUAGAUACAAGAUUACAUUGGAAACAGAACAUAAUGGCAGUUAUCCAAACAGAGACAAGAACAGCAUCUGGAAACUUGAAAAGCACUGUAACUUUGGCUGAGUGUAAAGCAAUAGUCCACCAGUGGCUAGGAAUGGUCCUGCUUUGAUCAUCUGGAAUGAUUUUUUUUUUACCUACUGACUAAAUAAAGAAAUGCUCAUAUUUAC